RNAcentral lists this ribosomal RNA (253 nucleotides) under uncultured bacterium. RNAcentral's name for it is "partial 16S ribosomal RNA". It matches the Rfam family "Bacterial small subunit ribosomal RNA", at positions 524 to 776 of the family's 1533-position model. The record is from RNAcentral.
UACGUAGGUGGCAAGCGUUAUCCGGAAUUAUUGGGCGUAAAGCGUGCGCAGGCGGUUCGUUAAGUCAGAUGUGAAAGCCCCGGGCUCAACCUGGGAACUGCAUUUGAAACUGGCGGGCUUGAGUAUGGCAGAGGGGGGUGGAAUUCCGCGUGUAGCAGUGAAAUGCGUAGAGAUGCGGAGGGACACCGAUGGCGAAGGCAGCCCCCUGGGCCAAUAUUGACGCUGAGGUGCGAAAGCGUGGGGAGCAAACAGG